Chrysemys picta bellii (western painted turtle) is the source of this 1189-nucleotide RNA transcript. RefSeq lists it as uncharacterized. The record is from RefSeq and is a predicted model, not a curated record. Lineage: Eukaryota; Metazoa; Chordata; Testudines; Emydidae.
AGGACCAGGACACCUUGUGACACUCCUCUGCAAACUAUUAGUUUUCUUUUUACAAUGCUUACAAGAAAUUAUCAAUGAGUCUUAAGGAGAUUUUUGAGGCCCUCAUACAAAUUGUGGUGGAGGCAUUUCAAGCAUAAGGGGUAAUUAAAAAGUCCAAAGUUGUUUGUAUGAGGUGUGGCUAAGUGGCAGUUGAAACUGGCAUUGGUGGUGGAGCAGAGAAGCAAUGCAAGAAGAGACAAGCAUGGAAAUUCAGGGAAGGGCAAAGCUACAAAGGGCCUUGGAAGUCGGGACAAAAAGCUUUAGGGGUAGGUUGGGUAGAAAGUGGAGGGAUUCAGAAGAGGGUAGACAUGGUCAGAACAAGCAAGAAAUAUUAAUUUGGUAGCUACAUCUUAUAUAGCCUGGGAAGAGUGGGUGCAAUGUGAGAGAUAGGGAAGCUGUAGAUAUAGAGGAGACAAUCACACUAGUCAAGACAGCAGAUAAUGAGUAAGCAGUCUGGUUGUGUGAAUAGAGAAUGUUGUUUGUUACAAAUUUUAUGCAGGAAGGAACAUCAAAAUUUGAACACAGCUUGUCUGUGUCAAGGGAGAGGAAAGAUUGAAAGAUGGAUUUUAUGUUUUGACUUGAGUGAUUGAGAUGAUGGUAACAGUGACAAAGAAUGGGAAGAGUGGACAUGGCUUCGAAAGAAAGGUCCAUUGCUUCAUUCAGUGCACAGGAUGGACUUACACUGGGGAUGAAUCAAGGUUGUGAGGUGCAAACGUUUCUAUGCUCCCAGUAUCAUCUUCAUCCCUGAGGUUAUUGCAGAUUAGAAGGUAGAAAAAAAUGCACUCGCGAUAACAUGUUUUCAGAGCUCAUGCAGUCCUCCCACACUGAUAGGCACAGCUGAACGCAUGGAGGCAUUCAGUGGCAGAGGCCAGGAAAGCGUUCAGUGAGCGUGAUCAGAACACACAGGAGGAGAUGCUGAGGCUAAUGGGGGAGCUAACGGACAUGCUCAGGCAUCUGUUGGAGCUGCAGGAAAGGCAACAAGAGCACAGACCGCCGCUGCAUCCAUUGUAUAACUGCCUGUCUUCCUCGCCAAGUUCCAUAUCCUGCUCACCCAGACGUUCAAGAACCUGGGAGGGGGAGGCUCUGGGCAUCCAGCCACUCCACUCCAGAGGAUGGCCCAAGCAACAGAAGGCUGUCAUUCAAACAGCUU